Molecule: long non-coding RNA, 2510 nt
Organism: Oncorhynchus keta (chum salmon)
Lineage: Eukaryota; Metazoa; Chordata; Actinopteri; Salmoniformes; Salmonidae
Exons: 7
Source: RefSeq, a predicted model, not a curated record
CAUAAGGAAUACAGACAUACGGACAUAAGGAAUACAGAGUUCGCCCAACUUAUCUUCCACGCUGGCUCUCUGAUGAUAGAAUGCAAUUGUUCUUGGGAGCUUUUUGGCGGUCAUUUAAAAUGCUACAUUUUCAAACCGAGUUGGCCGAACUUUGUACAGCCCACAUUAUGACUUUGAAGGGUUUCCUGAACUCGGUCCUGGUUUUUGUCCUAGAAAUACACAGCUGACUCAAAUAAUCAAAGCUUGAUGACGAGUUGGUCAUUUGAUUUCACUGUGUAGUGCUGAUUUCACUGUGUAGUGCUGAUUUCGCUGUGUAGUGCUGAUUUCGCUGUGUAGUGCUGAUUUCGCUGUGUAGUGCUGAUUUCACUGUGUAGUGCUGAUUGUAGUGCUGAUUUCACUGUGUAGUGCUGAUUUCACUGUGUAGUGCUGAUUUCACUGUGUAGUGCUGAUUUCACUGUGUAGUGCUGAUUUCACUGUGUAGUGCCGAUUUCACUGUGUAGUGCCGAUUUCACUGUGUAGUGCCGAUUUCACUGUGUAGUGCUGGGGGGGAAAGGAAAUGUGCACCCCUUGGAAUCCCCAGGACAGAGUUUGGAAAAUGCUGGAGUAGAGAGAGACAGAUGGACAACAUAUGGCAGCCAACUAGUGGGCCAUGUAGGUUAGUUGGACUGAGACACUGAGUCUUUCAUCCACAUCAGUACCAUGUAGGUGAGUCGUACAUCCACAUCUACAGCAGUCUCAGUACCAUGUAGGUUAGUUGGACUGAGACAGAGUCUUUCAUCCACAUCAGUACCAUGUAGGUUAGUUGGACUGAGACACUGAGUCGUACAUCUACAGCAGUAUCAGUACCAUGUAGGUUAGUUGGACUGAGACACUGAGUCGUACAUCUACAGCAGUAUCAGUACCAUGUAGGUUAGUUGGACUGAGACACUGAGUCGUACAUCUACAGCAGUAUCAGUACCAUGCAGGUUAGUUGGACUGAGACACUGAGUCUUUCAUCCACAUCAGUACCAUGUAGGUGAGUCGUACAUCCACAUCUACAGCAGUCUCAGUACCGUGUAGGUUAGUUGGACUGAGACAGAGUCUUUCAUCCACAUCAGUACCAUGUAGGUUAGUUGGACUGAGACACUGAGUCUUUCAUCCACAUCAGUACCAUGUAGGUGAGUCGUACAUCCACAUCUACAGCAGUCUCAGUACCGUGUAGGUUAGUUGGACUGAGACAGAGUCUUUCAUCCACAUCAGUACCAUGUAGGUGAGUCGUACAUCCACAUCUACAGCAGUCUCAGUACCGUGUAGGUUAGUUGGACUGAGACAGAGUCUUUCAUCCACAUCAGUACCAUGUAGGUUAGUUGGACUGAGACACUGAGUCUUUCAUCCACAUCAGUACCAUGUAGGUGAGUCGUACAUCCACAUCUACAGCAGUCUCAGUACCGUGUAGGUUAGUUGGACUGAGACACUGAGUCGUACAUCUACAGCAGUCUCAGUACCGUGUAGGUUAGUUGGACUGAGACACUGAGUCGUACAUCUACAGCAGUCUCAGUACCAUGCAGGUUAGUUGGACUGAGACACUGAGUCGUACAUCUACAGCAGUAUCAGUACCAUGUAGGUUAGUUGGACUGAGACACUGAGUCGUACAUCUACAGCAGUCUCAGUACCGUGUAGGUUAGUUGGACUGAGACACUGAGUCGUACAUCUACAGCAGUCUCAGUACCAUGCAGGUUAGUUGGACUGAGACCCAGUGAGUCGUUCACUUCACUUCGUCAGUGUGUUACAGGAUGUUUGUAAGGUGCAUGUGUGGUGAGUGUAGUACGAGGUACACGUGGAAUCAUCAUAACCAAUAACAAACUGCAUAGCAUGCAGUUUGACAGAGUCAAAGAUGGACAUUUCUGACCACUUUUAAAACAGACACAUUUUUCCCUCCCAGUAAAUUAAACCAAGCCAGAUAACCCAUGGCAUCGGGAUACAACCAAGCCAGAUAACCCAUGGCAUCGGGAUACAACCAAGCCAGAUAACCCAUGGCAUCGGGAUACAACCAAGCCAGAUAACCCAUGGCAUCGGGAUACAACCAAGCCAGAUAACCCAUGGCAUCGGGAUACAACCAAGCCAGAUAACCCAUGGCAUCGGGAUACAACCAAGCCAGAUAACCCAUGGCAUCGGGAUACAACCAAGCCAGAUAACCCAUGGCAUCGGGAUACAACCAAGCCAGAUAACCCAUGGCAUCAUGAUAAAUGCUGCAGAGGACAUAAAGACAGUCCAAAAUCUCACUAGCAUGGAUACAAGGUUGUGAUGAUCAAUAUGACUUGGUUACAACCCCCCCCCCCAAAAAAAAAAAUAUGUAUUUACACGAUAGAUGUCGUUGCCAAUGUUUCCCCCGCAAAAAUGUCCAUAUGUUGUUGAUAAAUCACUUUUUCAACCAGACAGGACUGAUGCAAAGUGGGCAGUGUGUAUGAGUAUCUGGACAGGUACUGAGUCAGACUGGAUCAGACUGACUUCCCACAAUAUCAUUUCAGUCA